This 547-nucleotide ribosomal RNA is filed under the name uncultured bacterium. Its description in RNAcentral is "bacterial SSU rRNA". It matches the Rfam family "Bacterial small subunit ribosomal RNA", at positions 110 to 657 of the family's 1533-position model. The record is from RNAcentral.
GGAACACGUACAGAAUCUACCUUGAUCUGGGGCAUAGCCCGGAGAAAUCCGGAUUAACUCCCCAUAACAUAUAUGAGAGGCAUCUCUUGAAUAUUAAAAAUUUAUUGGAUCAAGAUGACUGUGCGUCCCAUUAGCUAGUUGGUAGGGUAACGGCUACCAAGGCAACGAUGGGUAGCUGGUGUGAGAGCACGACCAGCCACACGGGUACUGAGACACGGACCCGACUCCUACGGGAGGCAGCAGUGAGGAAUAUUGGUCAAUGGACGCAAGUCUGAACCAGCCAUGCCGCGUGAAGGAUGAAGGCCUUCUGGGUUGUAAACUUCUUUUACCUGGGAAGAAACCACUAUUUUCUAAUAGUGUUGACGGUACCAGAGGAAUAAGCACCGGCUAACUCCGUGCCAGCAGCCGCGGUAAUACGGAGGGUGCAAGCGUUAUCCGGAUUUACUGGGUUUAAAGGGUGUGUAAGCGGGCUUUUAAGUCAGUGGUGAAAUCUCCGGGCUCAACCGGAAACUGGCAUUGAUACUAUUAGUCUUGAAUUUUGUUGAGG